UGGGGAAUAUUGCACAAUGGGCGCAAGCCUGAUGCAGCCAUGCCGCGUGUAUGAAGAAGGCCUUCGGGUUGUAAAGUACUUUCAGCGGGGAGGAAGGCGAUAAGGUUAAUAACCUUGUCGAUUGACGUUACCCGCAGAAGAAGCACCGGCUAACUCCGUGCCAGCAGCCGCGGUAAUACGGAGGGGGCAAGCGUUAAUCGGAAUUACUGGGCGUAAAGCGCACGCAGGCGGUCUGUCAAGUCGGAUGUGAAAUCCCCUGGCUCAACCUGGGAACUGCAUUCGAAACUGGCAGGCUAGAGUCUUGUAGAGGGGGGUAGAAUUCCAGGUGUAGCGGUGAAAUGCGUAGAGAUCUGGAGGAAUACCGGUGGCGAAGGCGGCCCCCUGGACAAAGACUGACGCUCAGGUGCGAAAGCGUGGGGAGCAAACA
RNAcentral lists this ribosomal RNA (427 nucleotides) under uncultured bacterium. RNAcentral's name for it is "partial 16S ribosomal RNA". It matches the Rfam family "Bacterial small subunit ribosomal RNA", at positions 355 to 774 of the family's 1533-position model. The record is from RNAcentral.